CAACUGGGCUUGGCUCUGUGACGCGCAGAGGGAGGAGCAUGUGCUUGAUCGCCACCCCCUUGCUACCUCCUCUCCUGGCACUCCACGACGCUGUCUCGCCCCCUUUUUUUUGCGUGUUUUCGUCUGUCCUUUUAGUUUGCCGGCGGCGCUGUUUGGGCCGCUGACUUGAUUAGGUGGGGCAGUCCCUCCUCCCUCUUCUCGCCCCGUCCGGCGUUUCACAGGUGACGCCGCAAACGAUGCCGUCUAUUCAGGUGUCUGGCCGUCAUGGCUCCUACGCGACGCAGUUUUGGAAGCCGUCUGCGUGGGCGGUAGCAGCUUCGCGAUUCCGUAACCGCGCCGACAUGCGCGCCGCGUACAGUCGUAAGGCGAUCGAUCGGCGUCUUGUUCUGCCACUGGACAGCCAUAACUGGAUUCGCGCUCUUGAGGUACUGAAUGCCGGCUACGCACGCCUCGGUCGCACCCCCGAGCACUUCAAAAUGGUGCUGAGGGAUAUGGUGGAGCACCGCGGCCCCUACGCUGAGCGCGCCACGUUUCCGUCAUCUGCCUUCGCGCCACCGUGCCCGACGCAGUCACGUGGCGGCGUCGACGGUGCAGAGGCCCGGGUCUUUGGCGGCGACGGCCAGCGGCUGCCCAGCACGCUUGCUGAGAUGCCAGCAGGCAGUGAAGGGGCCGCCGACAUACUUCCAGCUGUGGACGCGUUGCGCGACAGGGCCUACGCUGGUGAGAUUCCGUCAAACCGCUCCCUGUGGGUCACCCUUGUGUGGUCGUACUGCGCUCUUGACCAGCCGAGCGGCGCCCUCGACACAUUCCAUCUCGCUACGCGCCGCUUCCGCUUCUCGUCGGCGACGAUGCAGCACAUGGCGUCGUUGCUGCUGCCUGUUCUGUGCCGGCACGCGCAGCUGGAGGAGGCGACCAGGUUGUACGAGACUUACUUGAAGGUGGAUGGCACCAAAGAGGAUGCGGAUGGCGCGCUGGCAUCACGGCACCACCGCAGCCGCAUCGAGGACGCCGACGCGCGACGAUGGCUUGCCGAGGCGGCGGCUCGGCGAGGCGAUUGGAAGCGUGCGCAAAACUUCGCCGGUGAUGCACGUGCGCCGGCAGGCAGUGCACCCGCCGCUGACGACCACCCUCACGCCACCACUCGCGGCUCGCCAUCGCGUCGGACGAUCGGCUCCCUCUUCCACGACACGACCAGCCCAAAGACGCCGGCCCUGUCGCCUGGUGGCGCACAUCUUUUUGCCUCUUCGGAGGGUGCCGGCAGAACAGAAGGCCAGCAGGCGACGCCGCGCUCUUCAGCGGCGCCGCCAGCACGGCCAAUGCUGCAAGCGCUCAGCCGCGAGGCGGUGCGCCAGCUGUUUCGCUGCCUCUGCCGGGGCGGCAGUGAGUCGGGCUCGCACUCGCAGCUUCGGGAUGCGCUCUGCUGCUGGGAGCACUUGUAUGGCCCUGUGCUAGAAGCUGCAUCUGCCGUUGACGGGGAUGCCAUGGCCAGCUGCCGUGAUGACAACCCUUGCCGUCUCACGCGCCCCCCGCCGCUGGAGGACGUGCACGAGUUGCUGAACCUGCUCGCGUCCCACCGGCGCUGGAAGGAGUCUCUUUCCGUGUUCUGCCACCUCUUCCUGAGCAGGCCCGCCAAAGUGUACGUCUCUGCUACCCUCGCUGACCUUCAAGUGCUGCCGUCUUCCAUAGGAAGUAGCGAUGGCCCGUUAUCUGCAUCCGCGAACGGCGAAAAGCCCAUCACAGCACCAGUCCUUCGACUCGAUGCCACCACGCUGAACAUUUUGUUCUCGUCCCUCCCCGCCGCCGCUGCGCCGCUACUGGUGCGAGCAAGGAAGUCGACACCCACUUCCGCAACGACGACAGCCGAAGAGCGCGCUCACAAACAGUGGCCGUCGCAAUCCCACGCCGCCAGCGAUGAGCGCGAGCUGCGGCUGUCGGCGUCCGCUGUCCCCGUCACCGUGGUUCGCCUCUUUGAUGACCUUCUCCUUCUUCGAGAUGACAUGGUACUCACCGACUUCGUAAUGGCCGCCGUGGGACCGGCGCUGCUGCAGGUGGGACAAGCCGAGCGCGUCUUCGACCUCCUUGCACGCACGCCGAUGAUGGUGGCGGCUUCGCAGCGCAAGGCGCCAGCGUACGUCUCGACUGAGCAUCAGGCUCUGAAGGCGGAGUUGGUGGCGCUCGGGUAUGCCGCAUUUGCGUUGUGCUCCUCGUCGGCACGGCGGCACGACAUGGUGCGGCUGCUGCCUCACUUGUUUCCGCCGGAGGUGGUGCGCCGCGUUGCCACAGAGGGCGAAGGCAACACGCCGAGUAGCUGCGCUAUCUUCGAGGGCCGUGCUGUGUUGAGGAACUACUCGCGCUCAGCCACGGCGUCUUCCACUGGCGCCACGAUGAAGUCGGAUGACACGGUGGCGCCCAACGGCAGCGUCGAUUCCUUGCAGUCCCACACGCGCGCCAACACCGCGAGCACCACAGCACCGUCCCUCCUUGACAUGAAGUGGCAUGCCCCUACCGCUGCCUCUGCUUUCAGAGGGGGGGACCUCAACGUCCCUACCCGGCCCGGUCGACGAUCCAGCGCUGCCACGCUCACCUCUCUCGCCGAUGACGCGAUGCGCCGCGACUAUGUCCGUCUGCACGAGCGUCGCCGCGACGCCUUCACGGGCAGCCACGCCGACGCCGAGCGAGACCCGAGACCGAUUCCAAAAGGCUUGCACGAUCAUGCGAGCGGAUGGGACUUCUUCGGUCGCGGCGGCGAGAUGGUUUUUGCGAACCACAAGCGCACUCCGCACCCCUUCACGAUGCAGCCGAAGGUGAUGCGCGAUCUGCGCAACCCCUACCGAGGAUGGAACCCGCGCCGGAACAGCUCGCUGGCGCACAAGGAAAACGUCAUCAAGUGGAAUGGCAAGAGCGCCGUAUGAGUUUGUGCGGGGCGGGUGGCACCGUCAUGGCCGGGCACGGGCCUGUGCGCGUGCGCGUCUUCGCAGUGCGCCACACACUCGCGCGGCGGAUGUAGCAGACGUUUUUUUUUUUCAUAAGUCAGAGGUCCGCUCUCCCUCUCUCUCCACCCCCUCUUCCGGUCUGCAAACAGCAGCCUUGCGUCAGCGUCACCACCCCCUUGUUCAUCUCCGUAUGCGCGGGGCCGCCAACUGACACAUGCUCCGGCGCAGCACCGUACAGCGCAACGUUCCGUCCAGCUCUGCAGCGCCUGCAUGAAGGCUGGUCUCUCGUUUCUUCCUCCUCUUCUCCCGUUCUCCAGCCUGCUGUGCUGUACGUUCUCUGCCCGCACUUGCGGCUUACCGUGUUGUCCUUGGCUGUGAUGGCGGCUGUAGUAUGAUGAUGACAAGCGAUGAGGAGGAGAAGGAGAGGCAACGAUUCGACGCGACUCGUGCACUGCGCGCAGCGCACUUGAGCAAUGCCCCUACCGGUGCGUACGCGCUUGAUUGAACUUCGACUCUCUCUCUCCCUUGUUCUCUUGUAG
This 3472-nucleotide unclassified non-coding RNA is filed under the name Leishmania donovani. Its description in RNAcentral is "gene:LdHU3.22.0730(CDS-product:hypothetical_prote in_conserved)". The record is from RNAcentral. Lineage: Eukaryota; Euglenozoa; Kinetoplastea; Trypanosomatida; Trypanosomatidae.